RNAcentral lists this ribosomal RNA (460 nucleotides) under uncultured bacterium. RNAcentral describes it as "partial 16S ribosomal RNA". It matches the Rfam family "Bacterial small subunit ribosomal RNA", at positions 338 to 795 of the family's 1533-position model. The record is from RNAcentral.
CCUACGGGAGGCUGCAGUGAGGAAUAUUGGUCAAUGGACGCAAGUCUGAACCAGCCAUGCCGCGUGCAGGAUGACGGCUCUAUGAUUUGUAAACUGCGUUUGUACGAGGGUAAACCCCGAUACGUGUAUCGGGUUGAAAGUAUCGUACGAAUAAGGAUCGUCUAACUCCGUGCCAGCAGCCGCGGUAAUAUGGAGGAUCCGAGCGUUAUCAGGAUAUAUUGGGUUGAAAGGGUGCGUAGGCGGUUUGAUAAGUUAGAGGUGAAAUGUCGGGGCUCAACCCCGAAGCUGCCUCUAAUACUGUUGGACUUGAGAGUAGUAGCGGUAGGCGGAAUGUAUGGUGUAGCGGUGAAAUGCUUAGAGAUCAUGCAGAACUCCAGUUGCGAAGGCAGUUCACUGGACUGCAACUGACGCUGAGGCUCGAAAGUGUGGGUAUCAAACAGGAUUAGAUACCCGUGUAGUC